RNAcentral lists this ribosomal RNA (406 nucleotides) under uncultured bacterium. Its description in RNAcentral is "partial 16S ribosomal RNA". It matches the Rfam family "Bacterial small subunit ribosomal RNA", at positions 30 to 526 of the family's 1533-position model. The record is from RNAcentral.
AUUGAACGCUGGCGGCAGGCCUAACACAUGCAAGUCGAACGAGUGGCGGACGGGUGAGUAAUGUCUGGGAAACUGCCCGAUGGAGGGGGAUAACUACUGGAAACGGUAGCUAAUACCGCAUACCAUCGGAUGUGCCCAUAUGGGAUUAGCUAGAAGGUGGGGUAACGGCUCACCUAGGCGACGAUCCCUAGCUGGUCUGAGAGGAUGACCAGCCACACUGGAACUGAGAGACGGUCCAGACUCCGACGGGAGGCAGCAGUGGGGAAUAUGACACAAUGGGCGCAAGCCUGAUACAGCCAUGCCGCGUGUAUGAAGAAGGCCUUCGGGUUGUAAAGUACUUUCAGCGAGGAGGCGUUACUCGCAGAAGAAGCACCGGCUAACUCCGUGCCAGCAGCCGCGGUAAUAC